This 497-nucleotide ribosomal RNA is filed under the name uncultured bacterium. RNAcentral describes it as "partial 16S ribosomal RNA". It matches the Rfam family "Bacterial small subunit ribosomal RNA", at positions 28 to 507 of the family's 1533-position model. The record is from RNAcentral.
GACGAACGCUGGCGGCGUGCCUAAUACAUGCAAGUAGAACGCUGAAGAGAGGAGCUUGCUCUUCUUGGAUGAGUUGCGAACGGGUGAGUAACGCGUAGGUAACCUGCCUUGUAGCGGGGGAUAACUAUUGGAAACGAUAGCUAAUACCGCAUAACAAUGGAUGACCCAUGUCAUUUAUUUGAAAGGGGCAAAUGCUCCACUACAAGAUGGACCUGCGUUGUAUUAGCUAGUAGGUGAGGUAACGGCUCACCUAGGCGACGAUACAUAGCCGACCUGAGAGGGUGAUCGGCCACACUGGGACUGAGACACGGCCCAGACUCCUACGGGAGGCAGCAGUAGGGAAUCUUCGGCAAUGGGGGCAACCCUGACCGAGCAACGCCGCGGGAGUGAAGAAGGGUUUCGGAUCGUAAAGCUCUGUUGUAAGUCAAGAACGAGUGUGAGAGUGGAAAGUUCACACUGUGACGGUAGCUUACCAGAAAGGGACGGCUAACUACGUG